GGAGUUUAAUAUAGACUUGAACUUGCUCUUCCCAAUACCCAGUCUGCCCCCAAAUUUCAUUGAUCUAUUCAGAGGCUAUGUGAGAAACGUGUCCUUUCCCCAAAAUAUUACUGUGUCUUUAACUCUAGAAGACUUGAACUUCACUACAUGGUGCUAUCCAAACUCCACUGGAGGACUGCAGUGUCAAUGUGAGGACCAGUUUGCCUGGUCAUGUGACAAGUGUGGCCUAUACGGUGCAUGCAGUAAUGUCACCUCCCACACCUGUGAAUGCAUCCAAGCGCUUCCUCCUGGUGGAGAAUUCUGUGAACCAAUCACAAAUAUUUCUCCAUGUCCAACAACAACUCCUGUUAUAACACCAUCAACACCAGAAACUACAGCAACAAAUGAGCCAGUGGAGUUUAAUAUAGACUUGAACUUGCUCUUCCCAAUACCCAGUCUGCCCCCAAAUUUCAUUGAUCUAUUCAGAGGCUAUGUGAGAAACGUGUCCUUUCCCCAAAAUAUUACUGUGUCUUUAAUACUAGAAGACUUGAACUUCACCACAUGGUGCUAUCCAAACUCCACUGGAGGACCGCAGUGUCAAUGUGAGGACCAGUUUGCCUGGUCAUGUGACAAGUGUGGCCUAUACGGUGCAUGCAGUAAUGUCACCUCCCAAACCUGUGAAUGCAUCCAAGCGCUUCCUCCUGGUGGAGAGUUCUGCGAACCAAUCACAAAUAUUUCUCCAUGUCCAACAACAACUCCUGCUUAUCACACAUUUGAUUUCCAUGUGUGACGACUGCAAGUGUCCAGAGUGAGGACAGACUGAGGGACCCACUGCUGCACAUCAUCUGUGAGGCUUUGCACCCCUGAUGAUCCACCAGGACACACUCAGCAGUGUGUGAGGAAGAGGAGGAGGAAGAGCCAGCAGCAGCUGACAGAUGGGGAGAAUAGACAGACUGUUCCUGUUUGUGAAGGACUGCUAGAAACAUUUAAAAUAACUAAUUGUCUGUCCUGAAUCAGUCUUAUUAGGUAAUGUUCAGAUAAUUUGAUCAUUCCAGUGUUUUCAGUGUG
This is a long non-coding RNA of Oreochromis aureus, 1047 nucleotides long. NCBI's taxonomy places the organism in Eukaryota, Metazoa, Chordata, Actinopteri, Cichliformes, Cichlidae. The record is from Ensembl.